This 610-nucleotide ribosomal RNA is filed under the name Pichia kudriavzevii. Its description in RNAcentral is "partial large subunit ribosomal RNA". It matches the Rfam family "Eukaryotic large subunit ribosomal RNA", at positions 37 to 664 of the family's 3401-position model. Lineage: Eukaryota; Fungi; Ascomycota; Pichiomycetes; Pichiales; Pichiaceae. The record is from RNAcentral.
UGCAUAUCAAAUAAGCGGAGGAAAAGAAACCAACAGGGAUUGCCUCAGUAGCGGCGAGUGAAGCGGCAAAAGCUCAGAUUUGAAAUCGUGUUUCGGCACGAGUUGUAGAUUGCAGGUUGGAGUCUUUGUGGAAGCGUGUGUCUAAGUCCCUUGGAACAGGGUGCCAUUGAGGGUGAGAGCCCCGUGAGACGCGUGCGGAAGCUGUAAGGCCCUUCUGACGAGUCGAGUUGUUUGGGAAUGCAGCUCUAAGUGGGUGGUAAAUUCCAUCUAAGGCUAAAUAUUGGCGAGAGACCGAUAGCGAACAAGUACUGUGAAGGAAAGAUGAAAAGCACUUUGAAAAGAGAGUGAAACAGCACGUGAAAUUGUUGAAAGGGAAGGGUAUUGGGCUCGACAUGGGAUUUGCGCACCGCUGCUCCUUGUGGGCGGCGCUCUGUGCUUUUCCUGGGCCAGCAUCGGUUUUUGCCGCAGGAGAAGGCGUGCUGGAAUGUGGCUCUUCGGAGUGUUAUAGCCAGUGCGAGAUGCUGCGUGCGGGGACCGAGGACUGCGACAUCUGUCUCGGAUGCUGGCACAACGGCGCAAUACCGCCCGUCUUGAACCAACCGGGACCAAA